RNAcentral lists this ribosomal RNA (499 nucleotides) under uncultured bacterium. Its description in RNAcentral is "bacterial SSU rRNA". It matches the Rfam family "Bacterial small subunit ribosomal RNA", at positions 32 to 518 of the family's 1533-position model. The record is from RNAcentral.
AACGCUGGCGGCGUGCCUAACACAUGCAAGUCGAGCGGGGACAUACGACGGAACCAAAGUUUCGGAUGGAGGUGAAGAUGUAUGUUCUAGCGGCGGACGGGUGAGUAACGCGUGAGCAACCUGUCCCUUACAGGGGGAUAACACAGCGAAAGUUGUACUAAUACCGCAUGAGACCACGGGGAGACAUCUUUCAGGGGUCAAAGGAGCAAUCCGGUAAGGGGUGGGCUCGCGUCCGAUUAGAUAGUUGGUGAGGUAACGGCCCACCAAGUCGACGAUCGGUAGCCGACCUGAGAGGGUGAUCGGCCACAUUGGGACUGAGACACGGCCCAAACUCCUACGGGAGGCAGCAGGUGGGGAAUAUUGGGCAAUGGGGGGAACCCUGACCCAGCAACGCCGCGUGAGGGAAGAAGGUUUUCGGAUCGUAAACCUCUGUCCUUGGUGAAGAGGAAGAGACGGUAGCCAAGGAGGAAGCCCCGGCUAACUACGUGCCAGCCGCCGC